UGAGAUUGUAAGAGCCUUAAGGAAGGGUA
RNAcentral lists this non-coding RNA (29 nucleotides) under Rattus norvegicus (Norway rat). The record is from RNAcentral. Lineage: Eukaryota; Metazoa; Chordata; Mammalia; Rodentia; Muridae.